UUUUGGACAAUGGGGGAAACCCUGAUCCAGCCAUCCCGCGUGUAUGAUGAAGGCCUUCGGAUCGUAAAACUCUGUCCUCAGGGAAGAAACAAAUGACGGUACCUGAGGAGGAAGCCCCGGCUAACUACGGGCCAGCAGCCGCGGUAAUACGUAGGGGGCGAGCGUUGUCCGGAAUUAUUGGGCGUAAAGAGCUCGUAGGCGGUCAGUCGCGUCUGCUGUGAAAACCCGAGGCUCAACCUCGGGCCUGCAGUGGGUACGGGCUGACUAGAGUGCGGUAGGGGAGACUGGAAUUCCUGGUGUAGCGGUGGAAUGCGCAGAUAUCAGGAGGAACACCGAUGGCGAAGGCAGGUCUCUGGGCCGCAACUGACGCUGAGGAGCGAAAGCAUGGGGAGCGAACAG
RNAcentral lists this ribosomal RNA (399 nucleotides) under uncultured bacterium. Its description in RNAcentral is "partial 16S ribosomal RNA". It matches the Rfam family "Bacterial small subunit ribosomal RNA", at positions 362 to 775 of the family's 1533-position model. The record is from RNAcentral.